AUUGAACGCUGGCGGCAGGCCUAACACAUGCAAGUCGAGCGGAUGAAGGGAGCUUGCUCCUGGAUUCAGCGGCGGACGGGUGAGUAAUGCCUAGGAAUCUGCCCGGUAGUGGGGGAUAACGUCCGGAAACGGGCGCUAAUACCGCACACGUCCUGAGGGAGAAAGUGGGGGAUCUUCGGACCUCACGCUAUCAGAUGAGCCUAGGUCGGAUUAGCUAGUUGGUGGGGUAAAGGCCUACCAAGGCGACGAUCCGUAACUGGUCUGAGAGGAUGAUCAGUCACACUGGAACUGAGACACGGUCCAGACUCCUACGGGAGGCAGCAGUGGGGAAUAUUGGACAAUGGGCGAAAGCCUGAUCCAGCCAUGCCGCGUGUGUGAAGAAGGUCUUCGGAUUGUAAAGCACUUUAAGUUGGGAGGAAGGGCAGUAAGUUAAUACCUUGCUGUUUUGACGUUACCAACAGAAUAAGCACCGGCUAACUUCGUG
RNAcentral lists this ribosomal RNA (484 nucleotides) under uncultured bacterium. Its description in RNAcentral is "partial 16S ribosomal RNA". It matches the Rfam family "Bacterial small subunit ribosomal RNA", at positions 30 to 507 of the family's 1533-position model. The record is from RNAcentral.